CCCCUAUUAACCCCUGAUAUACCCACAUCCCCCCCAGUUUCCCUCUGAUCUCCCUAUAUCCCCUAUAUAUUUCCCCCUAUAUCCCCCCCUAACUUCCCCCACAUCCCCUUAGAUGUCUGUAUUCCUUUCUUCAUUCAGCUCAGGCAAUGCCAAGCCUGUUUUAUUCCAUUCCCCCAUAAAGUAGCUGCAUUUGAGUAUUUCCAUAUUUUUCACCGUGCCUCUUACAUUUAUUUGCUUUAAGCUGUUCCCAUCCAAAAGCUCGGAGCACACGGGCAAAACCAUUCAUUGCUUCCACUCUGAACAAGAACCGAAAUCCUCACCCUCUGAAACUGCUCUGAUUGACUGCGAUGAAACAAAGCGUAUUGCCUAAAGAAACCAUUGUCUGUUUUCCUGCAGCUUAGAUGACAAGCCUGGCAUGGUCAGCAGGCAGCAAGCGCUCUGGGAGUCGUGGUUUGCAUGAGUUUGUGAGGAGAUGACACAAAGCUAGAGCAUAGAAAGCUGCACAGAUCCCAAAACACCCUUAGGAUUCAACCAUUAAUCCUUCUGUGUUGUUUUCUGUUCUAUUCCUGUGGAGUUUCUCUCUCAUUUUCAUCGACUUCCCUGUGAGAAUGAUGUGAUUUGAAGGUCAGCUUUUCUACAGACCCACUUGUGCUAGAAGAAAUUCUGUGUGCCACUGCAAAGUGAGGCUGGGAUUCCUCAGUGUUCACCAGCACAGGGAAGAACUUAUUUUCCAAGAUCUUGGUGAGAUAUUAAACAGGAAGAAAACUGUACAUCAGGCCAACAAAUGUCUGUACUUCCUACCAAAGAAACUUAGGAACUCUGCACUCUCACUUCAUAACAGCCACUAUGAAGAGGAUUAUAGAUUGAAU
RNAcentral lists this long non-coding RNA (869 nucleotides) under Gallus gallus (chicken). Its description in RNAcentral is "long non-coding RNA NONGGAT005613". The record is from RNAcentral. Lineage: Eukaryota; Metazoa; Chordata; Aves; Galliformes; Phasianidae.